AGAGUUUGAUCCUGGCUCAGAUUGAACGCUGGCGGUAUGCUUAACACAUGCAAGUCGAACGGUAACAGGCUUUCGGGCGCUGACGAGUGGCGGACGGGUGAGUAACGCGUAGGAAUCUGCCUCAUAGUGGGGGACAACGUGGGGAAACUCACGCUAAUACCGCAUACGCCCUACGGGGGAAAGCGGGGGAUCUUCGGACCUCGCGCUAUGAGAUGAGCCUGCGUUAGAUUAGCUAGUUGGUGGGGUAAAGGCCUACCAAGGCGACGAUCUAUAGCUGGUCUGAGAGGACGAUCAGCCACACUGGGACUGAGACACGGCCCAGACUCCUACGGGAGGCAGCAGUGGGGAAUAUUGGACAAUGGGCGAAAGCCUGAUCCAGCAAUACCGCGUGUGUGAAGAAGGCCUUAAGGUUGUAAAGCCCCUUUCAAUUGGGAGGAAAAACCUACCGGUCAAUACCCGGGUAGCUUGACAUUACCCUUUAGAAGAAGCACCGGCUAACUCCGUGCCAGCAGCCGCGGUAAUACGGAGGGUGCCGAGCGUUAAUCGGAAUUACUGGGGUAAAGCGUGCGUAGGCGGUUCGUUAAGUCAGAUGUGAAAGCCCUGGGCUCAACCUGGGAACUGCAUUUGAAACUGGCGGACUAGAGUUUAGUAGAGGGGAGUGGAAUUUCAGGUGUAGCGGUGAAAUGCGUAGAUAUCUGAAGGAACACCAGUGGCGAAGGCGACUCCCUGGACUAGAACUGACGCUGAGGUACGAAAGCGUGGGUAGCAAACAGGAUUAGAUACCCUGGUAGUCCACGCCGUAAACGAUGUCAACUAGCCGUUGGGCCUAUUUACAGGUUUAGGGCGCAGCUAACGCAUUAAGUUGACCGCCUAGGAGACGGC
RNAcentral lists this ribosomal RNA (882 nucleotides) under uncultured Pseudomonadota bacterium. RNAcentral describes it as "bacterial SSU rRNA". It matches the Rfam family "Bacterial small subunit ribosomal RNA", at positions 9 to 873 of the family's 1533-position model. The record is from RNAcentral. Lineage: Bacteria; Pseudomonadati; Pseudomonadota.